Molecule: ribosomal RNA, 363 nt
Filed under: uncultured bacterium
Lineage: Bacteria
Description: partial 16S ribosomal RNA
Rfam family: Bacterial small subunit ribosomal RNA
Source: RNAcentral
CCUACGGGAGGCAGCAGUGAGGAAUAUUGGUCAAUGGACGAGAGUCUGAACCAGCCAAGCAGCGUGAAGGAAGAAUGCCCUAUGGGUUGUAAACUUCUUUUAUAGGGGAAUAAAAUGUCCCACGUGAGGGAUUUUGUAUGUACCAUAUGAAUAAGGAUAGGCUAACUCCGUGCCAGCAGCCGCGGUAAUACGGAGGAUCCGAGCGUUAUCCGGAUUGAUUGGGUUUAAAGGGAGCGUAGGGGGAUUGUUAAGUCAGUUGUGAAAGUUUGCGGCUCAUCCGUAAAAUUGCAGUUGAAACUGGCAGUCUUGCGUACAGUAGCGGUGGGCGGAAUUCGUUGUGUAGCGGUGAAAUGCUUAGAUAUC